RNAcentral lists this long non-coding RNA (242 nucleotides) under Lathyrus oleraceus (garden pea). RNAcentral's name for it is "Pisum sativum (pea) long non-coding RNA (PSAT_LNC035301)". Lineage: Eukaryota; Viridiplantae; Streptophyta; Magnoliopsida; Fabales; Fabaceae. The record is from RNAcentral.
AAAACUCUAAUACUAAUUGAUCAUUUUUUAAAUAUAUUUUUAGAUCUUAAUAUUAUGAUUUUCACAAUUAUAUAAAUUUCUACGGAAAAGUAAUAAAACGUACAUGGAUUAAUGAUGUUCAUUCUUGUUAGGUUCUGUAUUUUUAUUUGAAUUUUUUUUUUCUUUUCAUUCUUCCCUUUAAUACUUAAAAUGAAAAUCUUGAUUGUCAUUAUUUGCAAUAUUGAUAAGAUUGUUAAAAAAAU